Molecule: long non-coding RNA, 519 nt
Filed under: Hordeum vulgare
Lineage: Eukaryota; Viridiplantae; Streptophyta; Magnoliopsida; Poales; Poaceae
Description: long non-coding RNA (HVUL_LNC007615)
Source: RNAcentral
UCAAUUCUGUUACGCAUGCAGCGGUGGGCUGUGCAACCAUUAACGGAUAUAUAUUCAAUUUAAAAAAUCAAGUGGAUAAACCUAUUGGAUAAGGUGGGAGUACAUACUCUUGGGAGUACAAAAGAGGAGUCCUACCACAACAUUGGACCACGCAUGAGACCAAAUCUUAUCGUCCAUGUAUAACUUCUGUAGUCUAGCCUGCAUGUAUAUGCUCUGCCCCUUCACCAUAAUCAAGUCAUCUAGUUCAGCUCUUAGCAUAAAAUAAAUAUAACUGAGCAAAGCAAACACGUGUGAACUAUUGGAAGUUAAGUCGGUUUUCUAUUGGUCUUUUUGUGGUUGGCCUAUAAAGGAUCAAAUAAGGCGAUGAAAAUUAAAAUUAAAACAGGGAGAAAGAACAAAAGAAUUUGAGAAAACUUAUGGUACAUAGAUCCGUUUGUUCGAUAGAUUCAGAUUUGUCAAGUGAGAAAACUUAUGGUGCAUAAAUACCUUAAGAACAUACAAAACGCACCUGAAGCCCCU